This 503-nucleotide ribosomal RNA is filed under the name uncultured bacterium. RNAcentral's name for it is "partial 16S ribosomal RNA". It matches the Rfam family "Bacterial small subunit ribosomal RNA", at positions 30 to 523 of the family's 1533-position model. The record is from RNAcentral.
AUUGAACGCUGGCGGCAGGCUUAACACAUGCAAGUCGAGCGGGGUGAUGGUGCUUGCACUAUCACUUAGCGGCGGACGGGUGAGUAAUGCUUAGGAAUCUGCCUAUUAGUGGGGGACAACAUCUCGAAAGGGAUGCUAAUACCGCAUACGUCCUACGGGAGAAAGCAGGGGAUCACUUGUGACCUUGCGCUAAUAGAUGAGCCUAAGUCGGAUUAGCUAGUUGGUGGGGUAAAGGCCUACCAAGGCGACGAUCUGUAGCGGGUCUGAGAGGAUGAUCCGCCACACUGGGACUGUGACACGGCCCAGACUCCUAGGGGAGGCAGCAGUGGGGAAUAUUGGACAAUGGGGGGAACCCUGAUCCAGCCAUGCCGCGUGUGUGAAGGAGGCCUUAUGGUUGUAAAGCACUUUAAGCGAGGAGGAGGCUACUUUAGUUAAUACCUAGAGAUAGUGGACGUUACUCGCAGAAUAAGCACCGGCUAACUCUGUGCCAGCCGCCGCAGUAA